CAGACCCCGCCUCCUCCCCACAGUCAACACUUCAGUGGCGGCUCAAACUUCGGAACUCCCGCAAAGCUACGGAAAAUACAAGUCUGUGCAGAAUACAGACCUCUGGGAAUUUAAAAAAGAAGAAGAAGAACUCGAUUAUUAAUCAUCAGACCACACUUAGGAAGGUAGGACUUUGGGAAGGGGGUAUAGAAGAACAUAUAGUUUUACACAAACAUCCAGCAUUCCUUGAUUGAUUGAGGGAUGUGAUCAUCUAAGAAAAUGUAUUUCCAAAGAGAAUGAAAGGGAUUCUGCUAUCCCUUCGCUCCCAGCUCCUACAAAGGGGAAAUGCAGCCAUUCUCACACCUGCUGUUGCCUCUCCUUCCUGUCUUCCACCAGCAGCCGAAGUGGGGGGUGAGACCAAGGAACCUCUCCUGCCUCCCCACAGGCAGCCCCUGGGGUCAUUCCUCCCUAGUUUUGAAAGAUCAUCCUAUCAAGGAGAACCAUCAUCUGAGAGCUAUGUUAACAGCAUCUGGCUGCAGGCUCUAGCCUGGAGCCUCAUAAAACCAUUAAUUAUGACAAGCAAAAUAUCCAGAGCAGCAAGUUGGAAUGCACUGGGUGCAGCAUUUCACCCAAGGCCAGCAUAAUUCCAUGGUCCUGGGGGCACAAAAAGUCCCUAUAACUUUCCAUCACAGAGACUGAGGUCAGGCACCCCCUCCCCCAAGGGUUAUUCCGAGGAAGGCUGAGCAACAAGUAGAGAACUGGGUCCAUCUCACUUGACUUUACUGAGCACUAAGCAAACAUAUUAAAACUAAUACCUUGCAACAGAAAAUAAACUUUGAUUAAAAAAAUUAUAAAAGUGGAAUCCGCAUCACAUGUGUACUGCGAUCCACAGAGAUUUUAAGAAAAACGCUCUGCAUGUUUACAAGCGCUGUACGUUUACAAGGACUGAGACAUGUGUAGAAGAAAAGCACAGAGCUGCUGCAAAGCAUGCCUCAGGUGGCCUGCUCGCACCACCAGGAAAACCACAAGACUGAAUGGGCACUGGGGACUGAAGGGCAAAGCUACAAAACAGUCCAGUACCUCUGUCCUUGUACACAUCUGAGAGCAAGCUCGUGGGAGGGGCUGAAGGAAUAUUCACUGCCAAGUAGCCAAGACGGAUAACUGGUGUAUUCAGGGAUUAGACUCAUGACUCUCCUUCAAACGCAACAAUUUUUACAGUCAUAGACACUGCCAGCUCCUGCCAGUCAUCAAAGUCCCCAAGAAAAAAGGUUAUUUAGAGAAGGGGAAUCCAAUUGGAUAAUGACUACUUCAGCUGUCCACGUCUUCAGAUAACAAACUCACCUUAAUAAAAAGAAAUUUAGAAAACAAAAGCCCGAAAGGACACUUCAGACAUUCAGAAGUUUUGGUUGAAACACUCAUUCCCCUGGGUCAAAUAUGGAUAGUGGGGUCAAGAGAACUUUUGUUUCUAUAAUACACUCCUCCGAGAUACGCCUUCAAAGAGAACUUCAAAGAAGGAUGAAGUACUUCUACAAAAUACACGCUGGACCCUCUCCACGGAUGGCAGCCUGGAGGGGGUUGACUGAAGCACAAAUGGAGACAGAGACAGAUGUCCCUCUCAACCUCCCCACCCCUACCCCGAGCCCGGCCACUCGGUCGUCCCCCUCAGACAUGGGGAGAACGGGGACAGUGUGACCUCAAAACGCACCCAGGUGGGGAAUGUCCUUGGUUUCCCAACCCCUAGGCUCAAACCCCUGCACACUGGAGAUACCGGAGACUUUCU
Hyaena hyaena (striped hyena) is the source of this 1759-nucleotide long non-coding RNA. RefSeq lists it as uncharacterized. The record is from RefSeq and is a predicted model, not a curated record. The transcript is spliced from 3 exons. NCBI's taxonomy places the organism in Eukaryota, Metazoa, Chordata, Mammalia, Carnivora, Hyaenidae.